CGCGGGGUAGAGCAGCCUGGUAGCUCGUCGGGCUCAUAACCCGAAGGUCGGGAGUUCAAAUCUCCCCCCCGCCA
This is a transfer RNA of Synechococcus sp. RCC307, 74 nucleotides long. It matches the Rfam family "tRNA". From Rfam's summary of the family: Transfer RNA (tRNA) molecules are approximately 80 nucleotides in length. NCBI's taxonomy places the organism in Bacteria, Bacillati, Cyanobacteriota, Cyanophyceae, Synechococcales, Synechococcaceae. The record is from Rfam.